Molecule: long non-coding RNA, 216 nt
Filed under: Ananas comosus (pineapple)
Lineage: Eukaryota; Viridiplantae; Streptophyta; Magnoliopsida; Poales; Bromeliaceae
Description: long non-coding RNA (ACOM_LNC001367)
Source: RNAcentral
AUAAUCCUAUAGGUGAGGGGUCUCCAUACACUUUUACUCACCAAUGAUUAGGGAUAGAAAUGUCAUUUUAUCUAUAAAAAUUAACAAAAGCAAAUAGAGGAUAAUGGAAAGGGUAUUUAUGAUAGUGUAUAAGGUUUGAGAGGGUAUUAAUGAUAUUUCAAAAUUUUGAAGGGUAUCUAUGAUAUUUUUGAAUUUUACAAGGGUAGUUAUGAAAUU